This is a non-coding RNA of Gossypium raimondii (Peruvian cotton), 142 nucleotides long. NCBI's taxonomy places the organism in Eukaryota, Viridiplantae, Streptophyta, Magnoliopsida, Malvales, Malvaceae. The record is from Rfam.
UAUUAAAAAUUCCAUACAUUUCUACGGUUAAAAAUUGACGUGAUAAAUGGAAUAACUAAACACACUUGGCAUGCCAAGUACACCUGAUUUUGAGAUACAUGGACCAAUUUUUAACCGUAGAGAUGAAUGCAAUUUUGUAGUA